GAUGAAGAACGCAGCGAAAUGCGAUAAGUAAUGUGAAUUGCAGAAUUCAGUGAAUCAUCGAAUCUUUGAACGCACAUUGCGCCCGCCAGCAUUCUGGCGGGCAUGCCUGUUCGAGCGUCACUUCAACCCUCGACAUCCCCUUGGGGAAGUCGGCGUUGGGGACCGGCAGCACACCGCCGGCCCCGAAAUUGAGUGGCGGCCCGUCCGCGGCGACCUCUGCGUAGUAAUCCAACCUCGCACCGGAACCCCGACGUGGCCACGCCGUAAAACACCCAACUUUCUGAACGUUGACCUCGGAUCAGGUAGGAAUACCCGCUGAACUUAAGCAUAUCAAUAAGCGGAGGA
This 345-nucleotide unclassified non-coding RNA is filed under the name soil metagenome. RNAcentral describes it as "partial contains 5.8S ribosomal RNA, internal transcribed spacer 2, and large subunit ribosomal RNA". The stretch from base 1 to 120 matches the Rfam family "5.8S ribosomal RNA", at positions 35 to 154 of the family's 154-position model. The record is from RNAcentral.